ACGAAUUCUGUUUAUACUUUAAAUUUUAUGACAUGGAGUCACUUGGGGUUCUAGUGUUUUGAAAUCCAGAGCUGGUCUGGUCUCUUCUCUGCUUUCACAUACUUCCCUUAUUGGCAAGACGAGCACACUUGAGCAUUCAGAGAAUAACAUAAUCUUUCUAAAAUCUGGUCAGUUUGCCCAUUGCAAAUAAAUCACUCUAAUAAAUUUUUAAAGCAUGUUGUUGCUUAAAGUAAGUGGGCAACUGCUUUAUGUAAUGGGAAAAAACAUAUGCAGACCUUACAUGAAAGAAUCAGGCUGGCUUCAAACCCCACAGCCCCGUGGACUUCCCAGUUCCUCUAGAUGGACCAGGGACUCAGUCCAACCUGAGGACGUCCCUGUGGAUGCCUCCUUUCACUUCGGGUGUUAGAUCUUCCAGGAGAAGAUCCAGCCUCUUAGUCUCUUAUCAUUUGUCCCUUCUUUCCCUUUCAGGUGACCUGUCCCUGGAUCCCAAAAGACCAGCUCGAUUUUCCAAGGAAGUGGGGCCAGCAUUUUGGGAUGGUGGCAUGUGGGACCUCACCCACAGAAAAACAGGGGCCUCCAGCAAAACUGUGCAAGACAGGAUGAACAAGUGAGAGCCUUGGAACAAAAACAGGUCACAGAGCUGCUGUAAUAAUCCAGUUCCGUGGCAUCAGGAAGCUGCGUCUCUGCCUCCAGGUUUUUGGGGAAAGCACAGUUGUGGACCUGACAUUGUCUGGACAGGCAGCACUGUUUAAAUGAACUGGCUGAAGGCAGGAAAGCAAGCAAUUGGGCCACUGCCACCAUCCACCCCCGUCCCACCCAGUGUCGCCUCCAGCUGAUUGCUACAGUGACAGUUUGAAAGGUAAGUAAGGUCAUUUCUCUUAUUUCUCUGCUUAAAACCUCCAGUGACUUGCUGUCGGUUUCCCAAGGUACCCACAUGCUCUCUCCUUGGUUUUCACUGAAAUGUCACCUUACAGAGGCCUUCUAUGACACCCUGUUUAAAAUGUCCUCUUCAUACUCUAUCCCACUGCAUCCCCAUCUAUAUAGCUCUUAUCCCACCUGACUCAGAGCUCACAGUUGGAAGACAGAGAAGGAGUUGUUCUGAUUCCCCCCACUGCUGUCACUGUUUUGGGGGAGAUUCAUUUUGCUAAUAUACGCACAAGAUUCCUUAGAAUCUAUGCUCCGUAAGGUAUGUUCUAGAAUCUAGGUUGCCAGCUUGCUAAUGAGGUAACUUCUUGUCUUACAUGGUUACUUUUUUGUGAGUGAAAGCAUACAUGAAAACAUGUAUGUUCCAUUAUACUAAGAGGGUAACAGUGUUUUCUCUCCAGAAUCAGGAGGUCCUUACCGUACUGAUGAGUCCUGGGUCCUAUGCCUCUGACUGUGACCAUCAUACCUUGAACAGCACUCGUUCGAAUGACAAAACACUUUUCAUUAAU
Molecule: non-coding RNA, 1433 nt
Organism: Ictidomys tridecemlineatus (thirteen-lined ground squirrel)
Lineage: Eukaryota; Metazoa; Chordata; Mammalia; Rodentia; Sciuridae
Source: RefSeq, a predicted model, not a curated record